CCUCCGUUCUGCCGCCGUAGGGAAUUUUCGGCAAUGGGGGGAACCCUGACCGAGCAACGCCGCGUGAACGAAGAAGUUAUUCGUAAUGUAAAGUUCUUUUAACAGGGAAGAAAGAGAAAUUUGACGGUACCUUAAGAUUAAGCUCCGGCUAACUACGUGCCAGCAGCCGCGGUAAUACGUAGGGAGCGAGCGUGAUCCGGAAUUAUUGGGCGAAAGGGGUGCGUAGAUGGCAUAGUAAGUCUUUUGUAAAAAUGCUGGGCUCAACCCAGUAGGGCAAAAGAUACUGCAAAGCUAGAGUAUGACAGAGGCAAGUGGAACUACAUGUGUAGCGGUAAAAUGCGUAGAUAUAUGUAAGAACACCAGUGGCGAAGGCGGCUUGCUGGAUCGAUACUGACGUUGAGGCACGAAAGCGUGGGGAGCAAACAGGAUUAGAUACCCUAGUAGUC
Molecule: ribosomal RNA, 446 nt
Filed under: uncultured bacterium
Lineage: Bacteria
Description: partial 16S ribosomal RNA
Rfam family: Bacterial small subunit ribosomal RNA
Source: RNAcentral